Molecule: ribosomal RNA, 254 nt
Filed under: uncultured bacterium
Lineage: Bacteria
Description: partial 16S ribosomal RNA
Rfam family: Bacterial small subunit ribosomal RNA
Source: RNAcentral
UACGUAGGGAGCAAGCGUUGUCCGGAUUUAUUGGGCGUAAAGAGCUCGUAGGCGGCUUAGCAAGUCGGGUGUGAAACCUCCAGGCUCAACCUGGAGACGCCACUCGAUACUGCUAUGGCUUGAGUUCGGUAGGGGUAAGCGGAAUUCCUGGUGUAGCGGUGAAAUGCGCAGAUAUCAGGAGGAACACCGGUGGCGAAGGCGGGUCUCUGGGCCGAUACUGACGCUGAGGAGCGAAAGCGUGGGGAGCGAACAGG